GUUUUAGCUGACGACACUCGAGAGCGCCAAUUUUCCUAGAUUCGAUUUUGUGGUUUGGAACUGUGGUUUUGGAAUCCAGAGUAGUCGCCUCGUUCUAGUAUCCAAUUGCUCCAGCACCAACUGGUGAAAAGACCAUCAUUCUUCUACUCAGUUGCAUUUGAAGCUUUGUCAAAAACCAGACACAAUUGGAGACACAGGUUCUUCUAUCAAGGCCUUGACUGGAAUGGCAUAUUUUCAGAUAUGACCACAUUGCUUUGAGGAAAUGAGGCUGAUGUUGCAGAGCUGAUAAAACCCCCACAGAAAGGCCAGCCUACCUCUGGUGUUGGCCAGAUUGAGAAAUAAAGGGAAAGAGUACGAAAGAGAGAAAUUUUAAAGCUGGGUGUCCGGGGGAGACAUCAUAUGUCAGCAGGUUCCGUGAUGCCCCUCAAGCCACAAAACCAGCAAGUUUUUAUUAGUGAUUUUCAAAGGGGAGGGAGUGUAUGGGUCACAGAGAUCACAUGCUUCACAAGGCAAUAAAAUAUCACAAGGCAAAUGGGGGCAGAGCGAGAUCACAGGACCAGGGCAAAAUUAAAAUUGCUAAUGAAGUUUUGAGCACGCAUUGUCAUUGAUAACAUCUUACCAGGAGACAGGGUUUGAGAGCAGAAAACCGGUCUGACUAAAAUUUACUAGGCAGGAAUUUCCUCAUCCUAAUAGGCCUGGGAGUGCUACGGGAGACCGGGGCUUAUUUCAUCCCUUAUCUGCAACCGUCUAAGACAGACACUCCCAGAGUGGCCAUUUUAGAGACCUACCCCUGGGAAUGCAUUCUCUUUCUCAGGGCUGUUCCUUGCUGAGAAAAAGAAUUCAGCGAUAUUUCUCCUAUUUGCUUUUGUAAGAAGAGAAAUAUGGCUCUGUUCCACCCAGCUCUCAGGCCGUCAGACCUAAUGGUUAUCUCCCUUGUUCCCUGAACAUCACUGUUAUCCUGUUCUUUUUUCAAGGUGCCCAGAUUUCAUAUUGUUUAAACACACAUGCUUUACGAACAAUUUGUGCAGUUAACGCAAUCAUCACAGGGUCCUGAGGCGACAUACAUCCUCAGCUUACAAAAAUGACAGGAUUAAGAGAUAAAAGACAGGCAUAGGAAAUCAUAAGAGUAUUGAUUAGGGAAGUGAUAAAUGUCUAUGAAAUCUUCACAAUUUAUGUUCAGAUAUUGCAGUAAAGACAGGCAUAAGAAAUUAUAAAAGUAUUAAUUUGGGGAACUAAUAAAUGUCCAUGAAAUCUUCACAAUUUAUGUUCUUCUGCCAUGGCUUCAGCCUGUCCCUCCAUUCGGGGUCCCUGACUUCCCGCAACAGGUUAACCUGAUUCCGUACCCAAACCCCAUCACAUCAAGGGUAGCAAUACCUGAAUAUCUAAACUUCUAAAGCAGAGAAAUAAACCUGGAACAUGGUCACUCUACCAAGAAAUUGUUACCAGACCUGUGUGGCUGGACACCUGAUUCUCCCCUGGCAAAUCUUCUAUUUCAUUCGGUCAUCAUCAAUAUUUUUUUCAUUUUCAAUUUUUAACAGUAGGCAGAUAUCUAAGUUUAACUGUCUCAAAGGUUUGAUAUAUGACUUAGGGUUGUAUAUUAUUCAGUGUUUAUUUAAAAGAAUAGAAAAGUCCAAAGACAGGUUCACAAUAAGCAAAAAUACAUACAUACAUAAAUAAGCUUGGAGACUUUUAUAAGAUUAAAAUGAAGUUCUUACAAAUACUUAAAUCAAAAUGCAGCAGGAGUUAUGACAGCAAAAUCUUCAGUCUUAUUUUUAGAGACAGGGUCUCGCUAUGUUGCCCAGACUGGACUUGAACUUCUGGGCUCAUGUGAUCCUCCCACCUCAGCCUCUUGAGUAGCUGGAAUUAUGGAUGCACACCACCAUGCCCAUCUGAAAAUCUGCAGUAUUGACACUGCACUCUAUAAUGCCCUUCCUUAUUGUUCUCUUGACAGUAUCCCCACUGUAUAUUUGUGAAGAUGGCUGAAUGUAUUGAAGUAGAUACUGCUUUUAUAACGUCAAAGCCAUUAUAAUGUCAAAGCCAUAACCAUAAGGUUAUGGGACUGUUAACUGGUGGGUAUCACAACCCUGUUUAUGAGAAAAGCAUUCAGAACUGCAUAGGGGAAGGUGUAGUGAAAUAUUUAUUAUAGGAUAUAUCUUGGAGCUGGCAUAUUCCAAGAUAGGCCAUGGAAUAUGACUCUUUUUUUUGAGAUGGAGUCUUGCCCUGUCACCCAGGCUGGAAUGGAGUGGCAUGAUCUCGGCUCACUGCAACUUCCACCUCCCGGGUUCAAGCACUUUUCUGCCUCAGCCUACAGAGUAGCUGGGAUUACAGGCACCUGCCACCAUGCCUGGCUAAUUUUUGUAUUUUUAGUAGAGACAGGGUUCCACCAUCUUGGCCAGGCUGGUCUUGAACUCCUGACCUCGUGAUCCACCCGCCUCAGCCUCCCAAAGUGUUGGGAUUACAGGUGUGACCCACCACGCCUGGCCAGGAACGUGACUCUUAGUAGUGCUUGUGACCAAAACCUACAGAAGAGAAAAUGCAGUGUAAUAUAGAAGUAACCCUUAGAAUGACUAAUCCAGUUGGAUAAAACUCUUCUCUGUUUCUGUACCUACAAUGUGAGGGGAUGGGAGGUGGGAAAAGUUUGGAAAGUACCUUAUACUGGACCUUUUCUGUAGAACUCUCAAUUUUUGUACUAUUAUCAUUUGCUAAUUUGACAUGAAAUUUAAGCAACCAGCAAUGAGGAAAUACUUAGACUGUAACAGAGCUCUUCAGAGUUCUUUGUUUUGCAACAAUCACCUUUCAAAACUUCCCUAACAACUUGGACAGACAAACCCAGUCGAAUUUACAGAUGCUUGUGGAAAGGUUAGAGAAUUUGAAAGAAAUAAAAAAGAGUUGGGAGUGAAUAUGUGUGUCUUACUGCUUCGGUUUUGUUUCCUAGCAUUUAUUGGUUCAAAUAGAUUUGUUGCUUUGCUGACUCUCUGCUAUCUUCAUAAAAGAUAAGAAAACCUCUCAGCGUCCCUCUAUAGUGUGAGAAACAUGAUUUAUAAUAACAUUAUUUCAUAAUUGAAAGUAUUGUUUCGUUGUCUGGGAAAAUGAGCGCAUCAGAAUUAACUUGUAGUUUUAGAGGCCAGUGGGUUGCUAUAACAACCAGAAAAACAAUGGUGUAAUAACACCUCUCCCUGAAAGCUGGAGAACUCACUAAAUGACGAGAGCUACAGAUGCAAGCGUUUGUCAUAUGAAUUCAAACAAGAACCAAAUACAUUCAUUUAUUUCUUUCAUGAGCACUGACUCCAUGCCUGGCACUAUGCUAGGAACUGGUGAAAUAGACGUGGUCCCUCCUGUGAUGGAGUGAACAAUCUAAUGGAGAAGACCGAUAAUAAACAGUUUAAAAAAAAAGAUAAAUGGAAUAAUUUCAGCAUGUUUAAGGCCCUUUGGUAGAGAAAGCAUUGUUCUCUGAUACUGGACAAGCAGAGAAGGGUUGCUCCAGUAUGGGACAUGGAGAAGCACCUGGUCAUAUCAUAAAUCUUGCCUUUAAGGCUAUAUGAGCUCUAGUAAAGUGAAGGAAAAAAAGAAUGGAGUCUUACAGUCUUUAUUAGUAAAAAUAAUUUAAGGGAAGAAACUGCUAACUGAAGCAUGAUCAUUUUUUACUAGAAGGGUUUAACACGUAAAUUCCCAGAAUUCUUGAAUUAGGAGGAUUCAACAUUAAAAUAAGAGUUAUUUGUGUGUUUUAAAACAGUAUUGUUUUGGGCCAGGCGCGGUGGCUCACACCUAUAAUCCCAACACUUUGGGAGGCCGGGAGGCCAAGGCAAGUGGAUCACCUGAGGUCAAGAGUCCGAGACCAGCCUGGCCAACAUGGUGAAACCCCAUCUCUACUAAAAAUACAAAAAUUAGUCGAGCGUGGUGGCACAUGACUGUAGUCCCAGCUACUCGGGGGGCUGAGGCGGGGCAAUCGCUUUAACCCAGGAGGCAGAGGUUGCAGUGAGCCGAGAUUGCGUCACUGCACUCCAGCCUGGGUGACAGAAAAAAAAAAAAGUAUUGUUUUAUUUCAGCUUUACUCAUAAUAGCCAAAAACUGGAAACAAGCAAAUAAAACCAAAUGUCCUUCAGUGGAUGAAUGAUUAAACAAACUGUGUUAUAUACAUACCAUGGAAUACUCUGGCAAUAAAAAGGAAAUGAACUUUUUUUUAAGAAUAAAAGCUUUAUUGAGAUAUAAUUCACAUACCAUAAAGUUCAUCUUUUUAAAGUUUAAAGUUCAGUUGUUUUUAGAACACUGACAAUACAAACACUACUUAGAUAAUUGUGCAAAAAUCACCAGUAAUUCCAAAACACUGUCAUUACUCCCAAAAGAAUCUCCAUAUCUAUUAGCAUUACCAUAUCUAUUAGCAUUACUCCCCAUUUCCACCUUAUUGUCCAUAUGUUCACGCCCCAGACCUAAGCAAUCCUUAAUCUAUUCUCUGUCUCUAUGGAUUUGCUGAUUCUGAAUCUCUCAUAUAAAUGGAAUCACACAAUAUGUUUCCUUCUGUUUCUGGCUUCUUUAGCUUAAUAUGCUCAAGAGUCAUCUCUGUUAUAGCAUGCAUCAGAACUCUAUUUUUUUAUGGAUAAAUAAGAUUCCAUUGCACUGAUAUUGACCUUUUGCUCAUCUAUUUGUCAGUUGAUGAGCAUUCGGGUUUUUCCUCCUUUUUGUCGGUUAUGAAUAAUGCUGCUAUGAACAUUAGUGUACCAGUUUUUUCUGUACAUAUGUUUCCAGUUCUCUUGGUUAUGUACCUAGGAGUGGAAUUGCUGAGUCAUAUGGUAUCUCUGUUAACUUUCUGAGGAACAGAAAACUGUUUUCCAAAGCCAUUGUACCAUUUUACACUCCUACCAGCAGGUAUGAGGAUUUCAGUUUUUCCACAUCCUUGCCAUCCUUGCUUUUGUCUUUUUUUGAAUUUUCAUGUCAAAGGGGUAAUGUUCCAAUGAGGUCAUAACAAGGCUUGGGGAAGGCACAUUUCACACAUGCACGUGAAACCCCAGUCAUCACGCUUAUAAACUACAAAAGGAUCUGCUUUUGCUUUUUAUUAUAGCCAUCCAAGUAGGUGUAAAGUGGUAUUUCCUUGUGGUUUCAUUUGUAUUUCCCUAAUGUGUUGAGUAUCUUUUCAUGUGCUUGUUGGUCAUUUGUCUAUCUUGUUUGAAGCAAUGUCUGUUCAAAUCUUUUCUCAAUUUUUCAGUUGGGUUAUUUGUCUUUUUAUUGUUGAAUUGUAUCAGUUCUUUACAUAUUCUAGACACAUGUCCCUUAUCAGAUAUAUGAUUUGCAAAUAUUUUCUCCCGGUGUGUGAGUUGUUUUUUUACUUUUUUUUCACUCACAUUAUGUAUGUUGAUGUUAUGAUUUGAAGCACAAAAGUUUCAUUUUGGUUAAGUCUAAUUUCUUUUGUUGAACUACUGAUUGUUUUUUAAGAAAUAAAUGCCCUGUACAUCAAGCUGUAUACAGAGUGUACUCUGAAAUAGGUCGAAUUAAAAGAAGUCCUGAUUAUGGAGAUUUUCAGUGAGCUGUUAGGUCAACUCGUGGUUAAUUCUCUGGGAAUGAGCCUUUUUGGGCUUCAAAUCUGUUCUUUUCUCUCCAGUGGCUGCUAAGCUCUACUUUCCACAACUACUAUAAAUGUGAAGCUAUUGAGUUUCAAGGCUUCCAUGGAACUGGGGAGAGGUGUAUAGGAUUAGAGCAAGUUAAAACACUAUAGGCUUUCCGUUCUUACUGAGAUUCAGCUGUUUUUCUUAGGUAAACAUUCCUUGGAAUGUGGCAAGCUUUUGUUAAUUUCCACAAUUCUAAUAAGUUUAUGUCAACAGCUUUUGCUAAUGUCCUCAUUGCUUUUAUGGAGGAGCAGAUUCUCGGUGUGACAUUACUGUACCAUUUGGAAUGUCUACUGAUAUACACGAUAACUUGGAUAAAUCUCAAGAGAAUUAUGCUGAGUGAAAACAUGAUCUCAAAAGAUUAAAUACAGUAUGAUUCCAUUUAUAUAACUUUUUUUUCUUUGAGAUAGGGUCUUGCUCUGUCGCCCAGGCUGCAGUGCAGCAGCACAGUCAUAGCUCACUGUAACCUCAAACUCCUGGGCUCAAGUGAUCCUUCUGUCUCGACCUCCCGAGUAGCUAGAAUUACAGCCACCACACCUGGCUAAUUAAAAAAUUUUUUUGUAGAGAUGUGGUCUUGCUAUGUUGCCCAGGCUGGUUUGAAACUCCUGACCACACAUGAUCCUGCUGCCUCAACCUUCCAAAGCACUGGGAUUACAGGCAUAAGUCACCAUGCCCACCCUAUAUAACAAAUUUAAAAUGACAAAAUUACAGAGAUGAAUUACAGAUUAGGGGUUGACUAGGGAGAUGAGGAGGGAAAAGCCUGUGGCUAUAAAAGCAAGGCACUGGCUGGGCACAGUGGCUCACGCCUAUAAUCCCAGCACUUUGGGAGGCCAAGGUGGGCGGAUCACCUGAGGUCGGAAGUUCGAGACCAGCCUGACCAACACGGAGAAACUCUGUCUCUACUGAAAAUACAAAAUUAGCUGGGCGUGGUGGAGCAUGCCUGUGAUCCCAGCUACUUGGGAGGCUGAGGCAAGGAGAAUCACUUGAACCUGGGAGGUGGAGGUUGUGGUGAGCCGAGAUCGCCCCAUUGCACUCCAGCCUGGGCAACAAGAGCAAAACUCUGUCUUAAAAAAAAAAAAAAAAAAAAAAAAAAAAGCAUGGCACAAAGGAUAUUUGUAAUAGAACUAUUUUAUAUCUUGACUGUGUUGAUGUUCUCAUGAAUCUACAUGUUAAUAAACUUCAUAGAUUUAAAUAUACACACACCAAACGCAUGCAUGUAAAAGUGGUAAAAUGUGAAUUUUAAUGAUUUGUAUCAAUGUCAUUUUCUUGGUUGUGAUAUUUUACUAUAGUUGUGCAAAGUGUUACCAUUGGGAAAAACAAGUGAAGGAUAUACAGGAUCUCUCUGUAUUAUUUCUCACAACUGCAUGUGAAUUUACAAUAAUCUCAAAUUUUUGUUUGUAAAACAAAAAGGAGUAUCAUAGCUCAUAAUAGAAAUUAUAUAAGGAAAAUUAUAUUACAUAAUUGAGAGAAGCAAUUCAAAAUAUUCUCUGGCAGCUGUUUUGAGGUUUUUAUAAACACAAAAUGAUACUGUAAAUAUAUAUUGAAUAUAUUAAUACUAGGAUUCCCUGAUUAAGAUAGCACAAGAACUGAGUGAGCAACUAAGUUCUGAAUAGAUGAUUAUGGCUAAUGAGGUGGGCUUCAAUAGAAGGGCAGAUAAGUACAUUACUCCAUAUACCACUGCAAAAAUGAUUCAGGCACAGAAAAUGCUCUGUAGCCUAACUUUUGUGAGGUACCCCUUCCUAAAACAUUCAUAUAUGUGAUUCAUUUAAAAUAGAAUUGCAGAAUCAUAGGUGUUUCAACAAGUAUAGGCAUGAAUGAUUCUGUAAUAAGCUAAACAAGACAAAGCUCCACCAAGAUGCUUGGAACAUGCUAGAACUGAGUUAAAACUGAAUAUGGUAUAUUUCUUAUCCCUCAUAUAACUAAAAAACAUUCAUAAAUAUAUAUAUGUAUAUAUACAUAUAUAUAUAUUUUUUAGAGACAGGGUCUCACUCUGUCACUCAGGCGGGAAUGCAAUGGCGUGAUCAUAGCUCAUUGCAGCCUCAAACUCAUGGGCUCAAGUGAUCAUCUCUCCUCAGCCUCCCAAGUAGCUAGGACAACAGGCAUGCACAACCACACCUAAUUUUUUUUUUUUAAUUUUUAUUUUGUAGAGGCAGGGUCUCACUAUGUUGCUGAGGCUUAUCGUGAAUGCCUGGCCUCAAGCAAUCCUGCCUAGGCCUCCCAAAGUGCUGGGAUUACAGGCAUAAGCCACCAUGCUCAGCCUAAAAAUGGCAUAUUCUGGUGUCUAAUAUCUAAUCUGAAGAAAUUUCAAGGUACCACUCAUAAAAUGUGUCCCCAGCAUCCUAUUAUUCCAAAGACUUCAACUUAAUUUUGUCAUAUUUACUUUCAAGGCAAAAUGGAACCCUUCUAUGUUGAUAAAAUGUUUUAUAUAUGGUAAGAUUUGAGGACUUUACAUAUUUAGAGGAAUUCUUGUUUUAGAUAUAUUAUUAGUAUGUCUUCAUCAAAAAGAUGUGAAAUCCGUUAAAGCCCCACCUCCACAGAUCUCAUUUUAAACACUAGGGUAUGCCUCCCCUUUCUCCAAAUCUUCUAGGUUUCCUGACAAGUUGUACAGUUGGCUGAUUCUAGUUUUCUGUCAUUUCUCCCUUCUUUUUUUUUUUUGGAGAUGGAGUCUCACUCUAUCGCCCAGGCUGGAGUGCAGUGGCGUGAUCUUGGCUCACUGCAACCUCCUCCUCCCCGGUUCAAGCAAUUCUCCUGUCUCAGCCUCCCGAGUAGCAAGGACUACAGGCGCACACCACCACACCCGGCUAAUUUUUUGUAUUUUAGUGGAGAUGGGGUUUCAUUGUGUUGCCCAGGCUGGUCUCGAACUCCUGACCCCAGGCAAUCCACCCACCUUGGCCUCCCAACAUUUCUCCCUUCUUUAACAUUAACAAACAGAGCUGACAUGAGAAAAAGACACAAAGUUCUUAGAACAUUGUGAACUGGAUACACAGCUAUUAAGAGUCCUUGGUAUUUCAGAUAUCUCAAGCAUUAUUAUCAGCAUGGUAACUUUAAGGUUGAUUCCAGGUAUAAUUAAAUAUCUCAUGAUAGUAAACGCACAAAGGCUUUUGAAAAGUUUAGAUUGCAUUUUGAAAUAAAUAUGAUGUGAUAUCUUUAAAUUUUUACUGUAAUACUGUGCAAAUUGUUUAGAUUUAGAAAUGAUUUUAUUGCUCCUUAAGCAUUCAUUCAAUUCUUAUUCAGGGAAUACACAGAACAUAGGUAGUAUUUGGGAAGGUACAUCUUAUUAUUACCUUGAUAUAAUUAUAUCAUAA
Molecule: long non-coding RNA, 8902 nt
Filed under: Homo sapiens (human)
Lineage: Eukaryota; Metazoa; Chordata; Mammalia; Primates; Hominidae
Description: non-protein coding lnc-WBP4-2:10
Source: RNAcentral